RNAcentral lists this long non-coding RNA (573 nucleotides) under Anser cygnoides (Swan goose). RNAcentral describes it as "lncRNA (ENSACDG00005005988.1)". The record is from RNAcentral. Lineage: Eukaryota; Metazoa; Chordata; Aves; Anseriformes; Anatidae.
AUGGCUCUUUCCCUGACCUCACCAACAUGUUACCUAGACGUCCUAACACAGCACCUUGGUGGCCUCAGUCAACCCCCAUUCAGACAUUCACUGUCCACCUCCUGCUUUUCCAUUUGCGCCAGGACACUGAACAUCAAAGCAGUGCCAAGAAGCCAGACUGAAACCAUACUGUACUCAAGACACUGCACUGAGAGAAGAGUACAAAAAGCCAGAAAAAGAGAGAGAGCCACUAACAAAGUGAUGUUUUUCUGGGCCUCACCUCGCUUAACAAUCUGCCUUCUUUAUUCUUCUGCCUCCAUGGGAAGAACGGACAAUCAAGAUUUCUAUAGGAUGAAGGAAGUUGAGAAAAGCUUUCAACUGGGAGUGGGGAAAAGAGAAAGCGACAAAGCCCACUUAGCUAAGAGGGCUGCAGACAGAAGGAGUUUGGAAAGCCCCAUAUGCUCUCCCCUCUCCCCUUUCUGUAGCUCCAUCUGUCCCACACCCUCCCUUCUGCAGCGAGGCCAUGCCAAUGUCAUUUUGGGGCUGGAGCAGGACAGACAUCCCCAGAGCUGCACAAGAGCAGAGGGACACUAA